Molecule: ribosomal RNA, 516 nt
Filed under: Triticum aestivum (bread wheat)
Lineage: Eukaryota; Viridiplantae; Streptophyta; Magnoliopsida; Poales; Poaceae
Description: partial small subunit ribosomal RNA
Source: RNAcentral
AUGAAGCUAAGCAAGGAGGAGGGGGGUCUAGGUUUCCGGGACCUCCAUGACUUCAACAUGGCGUUGUUGGCACGGCAAGGUUGGCGGCUGCUGCAAGCGCCUGAGUCUCUAUGUGCAAGGGUUCUGCGUGCUAAAUAUUUCCCAUCUGGCAACUUACUUGAUGCUGAACAAAAAAGCGGGAUAAGCUAUGUAUGGCGUUCGAUACUCAAGGGCAUAAACCUGCUUAAACAGGGGCUCAUCUGGAGAGUUGGGGACAGCACCAAUGUAAGAAUAUGGGAAGACCCAUGGAUCCCAAGAGGUGAAACCAGGAGACCAGCAACCCAUAGAGGAAGUUGCCUGCUUACACGGGUCUGUGAACUACUUGAACCCACCAAUGGAGGGUGGGAUGCGGAUCUGGUGCGCCAAACCUUCAGCCGAGAGGAUGCAAAUGAGAUUCUGCAGAUUCCUAUCUCAGAAAACGGAGAGGACUUCCUAGCCUGGCAUUUUGAUAGUAAGGGAAUUUUCUCAGUCAAGUCA